This 764-nucleotide ribosomal RNA is filed under the name Bacillus sp. (in: firmicutes). RNAcentral describes it as "bacterial SSU rRNA". It matches the Rfam family "Bacterial small subunit ribosomal RNA", at positions 59 to 811 of the family's 1533-position model. Lineage: Bacteria; Bacillati; Bacillota; Bacilli; Caryophanales; Bacillaceae. The record is from RNAcentral.
CAGUCGAGCGAUCGAUGGGAGCUUGCUCCCUGAGAUUAGCGGCGGACGGGUGAGUAACACGUGGGCAACCUGCCUAUAAGACUGGGAUAACUUCGGGAAACCGGAGCUAAUACCGGAUACGUUCUUUUCUCGCAUGAGAGAAGAUGGAAAGACGGUUUACGCUGUCACUUAUAGAUGGGCCCGCGGCGCAUUAGCUAGUUGGUGAGGUAAUGGCUCACCAAGGCGACGAUGCGUAGCCGACCUGAGAGGGUGAUCGGCCACACUGGGACUGAGACACGGCCCAGACUCCUACGGGAGGCAGCAGUAGGGAAUCUUCCGCAAUGGACGAAAGUCUGACGGAGCAACGCCGCGUGAACGAAGAAGGCCUUCGGGUCGUAAAGUUCUGUUGUUAGGGAAGAACAAGUACCAGAGUAACUGCUGGUACCUUGACGGUACCUAACCAGAAAGCCACGGCUAACUACGUGCCAGCAGCCGCGGUAAUACGUAGGUGGCAAGCGUUGUCCGGAAUUAUUGGGCGUAAAGCGCGCGCAGGUGGUUCCUUAAGUCUGAUGUGAAAGCCCACGGCUCAACCGUGGAGGGUCAUUGGAAACUGGGGAACUUGAGUGCAGAAGAGGAAAGUGGAAUUCCAAGUGUAGCGGUGAAAUGCGUAGAGAUUUGGAGGAACACCAGUGGCGAAAGCGACUUUCUGGUCUGUAACUGACACUGAGCGCGAAAGCGUGGGGAGCAACAGAUUAGAUACCCUGUAGUCCACGCCGUAAACGAUG